UACGUAGGGUGCGAGCGUUGUCCGGAAUUACUGGGCGUAAAGAGCUUGUAGGUGGUUUGUCGCGUUGUUCGUGAAAUCUCACGGCUCAACUGUGAGCGUGCGGGCGAUACGGGCAGACUAGAGUACUGCAGGGGAGACUGGAAUUCCUGGUGUAGCGGUGGAAUGCGCAGAUAUCAGGGGGAACACCGGUGGCGAAGGCGGGUCUCUGGGCAGUAACUGACGCUGAGAAGCGAAAGCGUGGGGAGCGAACAGG
RNAcentral lists this ribosomal RNA (253 nucleotides) under uncultured bacterium. RNAcentral describes it as "partial 16S ribosomal RNA". It matches the Rfam family "Bacterial small subunit ribosomal RNA", at positions 524 to 776 of the family's 1533-position model. The record is from RNAcentral.